Molecule: ribosomal RNA, 580 nt
Filed under: Vibrio anguillarum
Lineage: Bacteria; Pseudomonadati; Pseudomonadota; Gammaproteobacteria; Vibrionales; Vibrionaceae
Description: bacterial SSU rRNA
Rfam family: Bacterial small subunit ribosomal RNA
Source: RNAcentral
UGCAGUCGAGCGGCAGCACAGAGGAACUUGUUCCUUGGGUGGCGAGCGGCGGACGGGUGAGUAAUGCCUGGGAAAUUGCCCUGAUGUGGGGGAUAACCAUUGGAAACGAUGGCUAAUACCGCAUGAUGCCUACGGGCCAAAGAGGGGGACCUUCGGGCCUCUCGCGUCAGGAUAUGCCCAGGUGGGAUUAGCUAGUUGGUGAGGUAAUGGCUCACCAAGGCGACGAUCCCUAGCUGGUCUGAGAGGAUGAUCAGCCACACUGGAACUGAGACACGGUCCAGACUCCUACGGGAGGCAGCAGUGGGGAAUAUUGCACAAUGGGCGCAAGCCUGAUGCAGCCAUGCCGCGUGUAUGAAGAAGGCCUUCGGGUUGUAAAGUACUUUCAGUCGUGAGGAAGGUUGUAGUGUGAAUAGCACUAUGAUUUGACGUUAGCGACAGAAGAAGCACCGGCUAACUCCGUGCCAGCAGCCGCGGUAAUACGGAGGGUGCGAGCGUUAAUCGGAAUUACUGGGCGUAAAGCGCAUGCAGGUGGUUUGUUAAGUCAGAUGUGAAAGCCCUGGGCUCAACCUAGGAGUUGCAU